UUUCUUUUAAUAGAAUCAACUCAGUUGUUAGUCAAGAUUAAACCUUCAAAAGAUUUAGAUGAUAUGCAGUGAUACAUUGCGCUUUCGUUUCCUGCAAGUAAAGGAUAUAGGGAUUCAAGAUUCUAAUCCUAAAAUAUAGCUGCUUCUUAAAAUAUGCUUAAGACAUCUGUAGAAUGUCUACAGCAUAUAUGAUUUCAUUACAAGUGAUGGGAAAGGGACUGAAAUGGUAGAACCAUUCCCAGCUUCAUGUCCCAGUUUGCUUCACCAAGUUGCUUACCCUAACAAAUGGCGUCCGGUACGAGAAAUUUCUGCGGCUUGAACUCCUUACUCGUACGAGCCACCUAAAGAGCUUUUCCUGCUUGUCGAGAGUUUAAAAAACUCCCCUCUUCAGUCAGCAUUUUUCUCGGCGAAGGCCUCUUGUGAGAAAAUUCCUCCAGUCUUUUCAAAUGCCGCAAUC
RNAcentral lists this long non-coding RNA (457 nucleotides) under Manihot esculenta (cassava). Its description in RNAcentral is "long non-coding RNA (MESC_LNC006117)". Lineage: Eukaryota; Viridiplantae; Streptophyta; Magnoliopsida; Malpighiales; Euphorbiaceae. The record is from RNAcentral.